Molecule: transfer RNA, 65 nt
Filed under: Nothancyla verreauxi
Lineage: Eukaryota; Metazoa; Arthropoda; Insecta; Neuroptera; Chrysopidae
Description: tRNA-Leu
Source: RNAcentral
GUUAUUUUGGCAGAUUAGUGUAUUGAAUUUAGAAUUCAAUUAUGUAAUGUAUAUUACAAAUAAUA